RNAcentral lists this ribosomal RNA (221 nucleotides) under uncultured bacterium. RNAcentral describes it as "partial 16S ribosomal RNA". It matches the Rfam family "Bacterial small subunit ribosomal RNA", at positions 129 to 334 of the family's 1533-position model. The record is from RNAcentral.
CCCUUUGGUUUGGAACAACCUGUCGAAAGAUGGGCUAAUUCCAGAUAAGACCACAGGUUCUAUGGAACCAGCGGGCAAAGAUGGCCUCUUAAUUAAAGCUAUCGCCAUAGGAUGAGCCCACGCACCAUUAGCUUGUUGGUAGGGUAACGGCCUACCAAGGCUGCGAUGGUUAGCUGGUCUGAGAGGAUGAUCAGCCACACUGGAACUGAGACACGGUCCAG